RNAcentral lists this ribosomal RNA (412 nucleotides) under uncultured bacterium. Its description in RNAcentral is "bacterial SSU rRNA". It matches the Rfam family "Bacterial small subunit ribosomal RNA", at positions 29 to 490 of the family's 1533-position model. The record is from RNAcentral.
AGCGAACGCUGGCGGCAGGCCUAACACAUGCAAGUCGAACGCACCUUCGGGUGAGUGGCGGACGGGUGAGUAACACGUGGGAACGUACCUUUUGGUUCGGAACAACACAGGGAAACUUGUGCUAAUACCGGAUGAGCCCUAUGGGGGAAGAUUUAUCGCCGAAAGAGCGGCCCGCGUUAGAUUAGCUAGUUGGUGGGGUAAAGGCCCACCAAGGCUCCGAUCUAUAGCUGGUCUGAGAGGAGAUCAGCCACACUGGACUGAGACACGGCCCAGACUCCUACGGGAGGCAGCAGUGGGGAAUCUUGCGCAAUGGGCGAAAGCCUGACGCAGCCAUGCCGCGUGAAUGAUGAAGGUCUUAGGAUUGUAAAAUUCUUUUAGUCAGGGACGAUAAUGACGGUAACCGGAGAAGAAA